CUCAAGUUCCUAUUGUUACCUUCUCGGCCACAAGUCCUUCUCUCUCAUCACUUCGGAGUCCUUAUUUCAUCCGGGCUACUCUAAAAGACUCUUCACAAGUAGGCGCUAUAGUUGCAAUCAUUCAAGCGUUUGGGUGGAGAGAAGUUGUGCCCGUUUACGAGGAUAAUGAAUUUGGGGAAGGGAUUCUACCAUUUUUGACUGAUGCACUGGAAAAGGUAAAUGUGCGCGUACCUUACAGAAGUGUCAUUCCACCAUUAGCAACGGAUGAUCAAAUUGCUGCGGAGCUUUACAAGCUGAUGACGAUGCAAACUAGAGUUUUCGUCGUCCACGUGCUGAACCCUCUUGCUUCUCGCCUGUUCACCAAGGCGAAAGAAAUAGGAAUGAUGAGUCAAGAUUAUGCAUGGAUAAUAACAGAUAGCAUCACAAACGAUUUAAAUUCAAUGAACCCUUCUGUCAUAGCAUCCAUGCUAGGAGUAAUAGGAGUAAGACCUUAUGUCCCAAAGACCAAAGAGCUGGAUGACUUUGCAAUUCGAUACAAGCAAAGGGUUCGGCAGAGCCGUCCAAAAGCUCCUACUCCCGAUGUCGACAUUUAUCGGUUAUGGGCUUAUGACUCGGCCACUGCACUAGCCAUGGCAGUAGAAGAAGCACUGCCAGAAAAUCCUGAAUAUCGAGAGGCAAAUGUGUCAAGAAAUUCUACAGAUCUUGAAGCCUUUGGAGUAUCAUUAAGUGGACCAGAGCUGAUUCAGGCUUUAUCAAGUGUUACAUUUACGGGCCUUGCUGGAAACUUUCGCUUAGUUGAUGGCCAACUCCAAGCACCUCCUUAUCAGAUCGUCAAUAUCGAUGGUCCUCGAGCUAGCAGCAUAGGGUAUUGGACAAAAGAGAAUGGACUUGUCAAAGAACUGAACUUCGAAAGUUCAAAUACAAAUAAAUAUUCUACUUCCAGAUCCAACCUUGGAUCCAUUGUAUGGCCAGGCGACAAAUCAUCUCCGCCUAAAGGUUGGGUGAUUCCAACCUGGUUUCCCUUCUCCACCAUGGUAUUUGCUCAUAGUAAGACCCCUUUCAUCUUUUAAACCAUAUUCCUUUUCGCCAAAUGUUAUAUACCAAACUUUAAAAUCUCCUUAAUUUACGGUUACGCGAUAAAAUUAACAAUUUUUUUUCUGACCAUCUGCCGUUUAUUUUUCGGUAGAGGAGAAGGUUGCAAGCAACUGGGGCAGGUCCCUGCUGAUCAUAUGGUUUUUUCUGGUACUUAUACUAACCCAAAGCUAUACCGCCAGUCUUACAUCCAUGUUAACAGUCCAGAAGCUGCAGCCAACAGUUACCGAAGUUAGUGAGCUUAUUAAAAAUAAGGAAUAUGUAGGCUACUCGAAUCCGUCGUUUGUUUUCGGACUACUCAAAGAAAUGGGUAUCGAUGCGUCGCGACUUCGGCCAUUCAACUCAGCCGAGGAAAUGGACGAACUUCUCUCCAAAGGGAGUCGAAAUGGUGGAAUAGCUGCCGCCUUUCAUGAGAUCCCAUAUAUAAAGUUGUUUCGAGGAAAAUACUGUUCAAAAUACAUGAUGGUCGGACCCACGUAUAAGGCUGAUGGUUUUGGCUUUGUACGGACCCUCCUUUGAAGUAUAUCUACGCAUGUAUAUUAUUUUUCGCUUUAAUCGUUCUAAAGGCUCUCUUUUUCUUCUUUGCAGGUCUUCCCAAUAGGUUCUCCUCUAGUACCUGACGUUUCAAGAGCAAUUUUGAAUGUGACAGAAGGCCGAAAGAUGGUGGAAAUCGAGAGGAAAUGGUUCGGAGAUAAGACCACAUGUUCAGACUCUGACACUGUGCUUUCAUCAAAAAGUCUUGAGCUAGAAAGCUUCAUGGUACUCUUCUCAGCUGUAGGAGCGGUUGGAUUUGGAGCCCUUACGCACUAUGUGUUUAAAUUCCUUUAUGACAAUUGGGAUGUCGUCAAAGGGGAGGACGCUCCAUCCAAAUUGCUAAGAUUGCUGCGUAUUUUCCUGUCUAAGAAAGAAAACAACAGCCAAGAGAUCGAGCUUGUUGAUCCGCAUGAAAACUAGUGAUGAACAUAAAUGUUGGCACUUGCGAUUCGUUUACCUCAAAGAAAGAUUGAUGCCCGUCGCUUAACUGAGAAAGGUGGUGGUGUAAUUUUUAAAAUCUGAUUCCAAAUGUUUCGUGUCAAAUUUCCUUACAAAUUCUUUUUUUCUGGAAACAUUGUCUUGGGAUUAAGUUCUCUAUUGGGAAUGUCAAAUGUUUUAAUGUCCUUGGAAAGUUCUAACCACAAUUCCUUCACAUCAAAUUAUAUUUGGAUUCGUCUACAUUUUAGCUUAUGUUAAAUGCCUAUAUCUUCAAAAGCUCGGGCUAAUAAACAAAACUAGCAUUGAUAAAAUACCGAAAAAUUUGAUUAUGUAGAUAACGGGAACUCCGAUAGAGGGUCGUCAAGGAAGCAUCACAAAGCUAGAUACUUCACCUUAGUACGAGAAAAGAAGGUUAAGCAAAUAAGGUAAUAUGAGAUGCAGAUAGAUUCCAAAAAGCUCAUAUUCUUGUAGGCAUUUCAACAAACAUGUAAUAGGCAUCCACAUAAUCCUACAUCAUCGUACAGAUCUACCAACACAAACAAAACAUUAACAACAACGCAAAGCAAAACUUACCAAUCCUUUCUGUGACGAACAACUCCGAUUCUCUCGUUCUUCUUCUCUCCUAAGCACUCCGAGGUUAACUGUCAAUGUUUGAUUCUCUCCACACUCUUCAGCUGCAUUGCCAUUCUCGAACUUGAUUGAUUCUUUUCCGGCGCAUUGGAAUUAGCAUAAUUGAACUCAGUUUCACCAUCUUAUUUAUAAUGAUUUAUUUGGGAAAAAUAUAGUUUUUUUCUUUUCAUAUUUGGUCCCUUAUGUUUAUAAAAAACACAUUUAGUCCCUUAUGUUUCAAAAAUUCAACACUUUUAGUUAUUUCCGUCAAUUUUUCGUUAAAACUAACGGAAUCAAGCGUGUUCCGUGACUUGCUUAACUAACAAACUAACGGUAAAUUGAUGGAAAUGAUCAAAAAUAUUAAUUAUUGAAACAUGAGGGACCAAAUGUGUUUAUUUUUUUGUAAACAUGAGGAACCAAAUGUGGAAUCGAUGCAAACUUAAGGGGUCAAAACUGUAAUUUUUCCAAUUUAUUUUUAUCACUACACCAAAUCUGUAAUCAAUAUUGUUCGCCGUAGUUAGUUUGAAAUAUUUGCAAUUGUAAUAAAAUAUAUUUUCAAUAUUUUGAGCCAAAUCAGUUACAUUUAUAAAGCAAUGAAUCUUUGAAAGUUAAAUUCAACCACAAAAGUUGUUAAAACAUAAUGAAUCUUUGAUUCCAGUUUUGUCACCCGUGAAAUACAUUGGAUGAUUCUUGGAUGAUUCUGCACCAUUGAUCUGAACAUAAUAACACACAUACCAAUGUGUUUGUGUGUUUAAUGGAUAGUUAUUUGUAUAAAUUUAUGAUGCAAAUUCACCUAGUAUUUUUUACCAAAUGUAGCAUCUCAUAAACCCUAAUUACCUCGUAUAUAUUUAAAAUUUCAACCGAGUCCGAAUUCUUUUGUAAUAAGUCAAACCUCAAGAAUGAAUAAAUGAUUUAUAAUUAUAGUCAAAACUUCUAAAAACAAGCAUUCAUAAAAAUUUAAAACAGCAACCAAUGUUGGAUGGCUCGUUGACUUUACAAAAGUAAACUCUUAAACUCUCCUAAGAAACUUCAAAAUACAAUAUAUUAAUACAAUGAGGACAGCUCAUUUUGGAUGUAACAGUUCAAAUUCAAACAUCCAAAACAUAGUGCCCUGUAUAUGCAUAUUUUUUGAGUAAUCAAAUAAAUCAUCAUCACAAAAAGAAAAAAGAAAAAAAUUAAUAAUAAUAAUAAAUAAAGCCCCAAAUUUAGCAAAAAGAAAUGGAGAAGAUCAAAACCUGCAGAUAUGCCAUUUUGUAUCUCUUCUUUUAUUUAUGUGCCGUGAUUUUCUCGACAAAAAUGGCAGCGGCACAGAACAUCUCCGUAAGAGUAGGAGUGGUGCUAGACAUGGAUGAGUAUGGAAAGAUGGCAUUCAACUGCACAUCAAUGGCGCUCUCUGAUUUCUACGCUACACACGGUCAUUAUAAAACGAGGCUCGUUCUCAUCAACCGUGACUCCAGAGAAGGCGUAAUUGGUGCAGCUGCAGCAGGUACGAUAUUGAAGGAUAAUUUUGUCCUUUUUUACGUAGGGUAAACUGUAAACCGACUAUUUCCUUCACCAUGUGACAUCUGUCGACAACUUUCAUUCCUAACGAGAAAUCCAGAUUUAGAGUAUUUUUUUCCCAAGAUGAGAAAUACACUAAUCGGUCAUCGAUUUUUUACAUCUUAAUUUCAAUAUAAAAACGUAUAGCUUUUUAUCUAAUAAAUGAAGGAUCAAAUGAUGAAUGUUAUGUUGCACAUGAAAUGCAGGUUUGGACCUGCUGAAGAAUGUUGAAGUGCAAGCCAUCAUCGGUCCCAUGUACUCGGUACAGGCUAAUUUCCUUAUUUCUCUUGGACAGAAAGCUCAAGUUCCUAUAGUUACCUUCUCGGCCACAAGUCCUUCUCUUUCAUCACUGAGGAGUCCUUAUUUCGUUCGGGCUACUCUAAACGACUCUACGCAAGUAAACCCCAUCGUUGCAAUUAUUCAAGCCUUUGGAUGGAAAGAAGCUGUGCCAAUCUACGAGGAUAACGAAUUCGGAGAAGGGAUUGUACCGUUUUUAACCGAUGCCUUAGAGCAGGUAAAUGCGCGCGUACCUUACAGGAGUGUCAUCCCAUCAACAGCGACAGACGAGCAAAUCGUCGCAGAGCUUUCCAAGCUGAAGACUAUGCAAACAAGAGUAUUCAUCGUGCACAUGUUGAGCAGCCUCGGUUCUCUCCUGUUCGCCAAAGCAGCACAACUAGGAAUGAUGAGUAAAGAUUACGCAUGGAUAAUAACAGACAGCAUCACAAACGAAUUAAAUUCAAUGGAUCCUUCUGUCCUAGCAUCCAUGCUAGGAGUAAUAGGAGUAAAGCCUUAUAUUCCACAGACAAAAGAGCUGGACGACUUUGCAAUUCGAUACAAAAACAUGACUCUGCAGAGCAAUCCAAAAGCUCUAAAUCUGGACAUAUAUGGUAUAUGGGCUUAUGACUCGGCUCUUGCACUAGCCAUGGCAGUUGAAAAAGCAGGGUUAUCAAAUCUUACAUAUCAAAAGACAAACACGUCGACAAAUUCUACUGAUCUUGAAGCCUUUGGGGUAUCGUUAAGUGGACCAAAGCUAAUUCAGGCUUUAUCGAGUACCACAUUUAGAGGCCUUGCUGGAAACUUCCAAUUAGUCGAUGGUCAACUCCAAGCACCUCCUUAUGAAAUAGUCAACAUUGUUGCUCAUGGAGUUAGUGGCAUAGGAUAUUGGACAAAAGAGAAUGGAAUUGUAAACAAACUAAAGUUCACUAGUUCAAGCACAAGCGCAUAUUCAACUUCCAAAGACAACCUCGGAUCUAUUACAUGGCCAGGCAACGAAUCAUCUCCACCUAAAGGUUGGGCAGUUCCGACAAAAACCAAGAAACUGAGAGUAGGAGUGCCUGUAAAGGCUGGUUUCACCGAAUUCGUGCGUGUUACGUGGAAUUCGGACAAUACUACUAAAGUGGAAGGAUACUGCAUAGAUGUUUUUGAUGCGGUGAUGGCAGCACUACCAUAUGAUGUGCCGUAUGAAUACAUUCCAUUUGCAACACCUGAUCGCAAGAUGGCUGGAGUUUACAAUGAUUUGGUCUAUGAAGUGUACCUCGGAGUAAGUUCUUCUUUCUUUCCUACAAAAUUAAAAACCAAAUACAUUUUUAUCAACACAGAAGAUGCAGUAUGCUGUGCCUGAACGUUUUUUUUUUUUUUUUUUUUUUUUUUUUUUUUUUUUUUUGUUUUCGCUUAUUAAUGAACAGAACUAUGACGCAGUAGCUGGAGACGUAACAAUUCUCGGAAAUAGGUCUCAGUAUGUCGACUUCACCCUGCCUUACAGAGAGUCUGGUGUUUCGAUGGUUGUACCGAUCCCAGAAGAUAAGAAGGGAAAUACAUGGCUAUUGGUGAAGCCGUUGACUUGGGAACUGUGGUCGACAAUCUUUGUCUCCUUUGUUUUAUUCGGGAUUUUGGUUUGGUUUCUUGAACGCCCAAGAAAUAGAGAUUUCAGAGGGACUGGUUGGGAUCAAUUUUGCAUGAUAUUCUGGUUUUCCUUCUCCACCAUGUUCUUUGCCCACAGUAAGCCACCUUUCAUCAUUUAAAUUACAUUUAGUCAUUUUGCCAAAUGUUACACUAAAGCAAAAUAUAGAGUAUAAUCAUCUAGUCAGAUGUUGAGGAUUAAACCUACUUAACUAACGGAGCAUAGAAAAGGUAAUAAAAUAAGAAGUUAUUUCUGACCUUUCGGCAUUGAAUUUUUUUUUUUGGUAGAGGAGAGGGUGGUAAGCAACUCCGCAAAGGUAGUGGUGAUUGUAUGGCUCUUGGCGGUAUUUAUAUUAACCCAAGGCUAUGCUUCGAGUCUCACAUCCAUGUUAACAGUCCAGAAACUGACAGAUACUGAUGUUAACGAGCUUAUUCGAAACAAGGAAUAUGUGGGCUACUCCAAUACCUCUUUUGUAUACGAAUUUCUGAAAAAACGUUUCGAUAAGUCGCAACUUCGGCCGUUCAAGUCAGCGGAGGAAAUGGAUCAACUUCUCUCCAAAGGGAGUGCAAACGGUGGAAUUGCUGCUGCCUUUCACGAGAUUCCAUACUUAAAUCUGUUUAUAGCAAAAUACCGUUCAAAAUACAUGAUGGUCGGACCCACAUAUAAGGCUGCUGGUUUCGGAUUUGUAUGUGACUCCCUUGACUACAUAUACGUUUCCAUUUUGCGUUGUCGUCUUUUUUUCUUUCUAGACUCUACUUCUCUCUUCUUUUCUGCAGGUCUUCCCAAUAGAUUCUCCUCUAGUACCUCAUGUUUCGAGGAAAAUUCUGAGUGUGACCGAGGGCCAGACGAUGGUGGAGAUUGAGAAGAAGUGGUUGGGAGGUGAGGCCAAACGGCCGGACACUAACACCAAAAGUCUCGGCCUAUCAAGCUUCAGGGUGGUCUUUAUUAUUGUCGGAGCAACCGGACUUGCAGCGAUUAUAAGUUAUAUGAUUAUGUUCGGAUAUGGAACUCAUGUCCACAGUGACGAACCCACAAUCGAGAGACAGAUUUAUGAGUUAUGUGAGUUACUCAAGCGUUGCGAGGAAAGAGACCAACAAAUAAAUAAUCCUGGGAAUCGGAAUGGAAACUAGUGAACCACCAAAAUGCUGUCACAUACAGGUUUUUCGUCGUUGUGAGGAGGUUGUAUCCUAAUUUGUAAAUCUCAUUCUACGUGUUUCAUCGUUUUUCCCCCCACUUUAAAUUGUAUUUGUUGAAAUAAUAAUGUCUUGGGAUUAAAUUCUCUUCUGAGAAUAUCUUCUUGGGACUUCAAUCAGCCACAACUCUUAAGUUAUCUCAAGAUUACAAGCACUCCCUAACAAAGUUCAAAUAUUUCUCUCUUAAUCUUUAAGAUAUAUAUAUUUAACUUGAAAGUUCAACAUAAAAAUAGUUUCUUCUUUUGUAAGUAAGUAAACCUUAAGAAUAUAUUUCAUACUUUAGACGACAUGUAUUCCUGGAUAAGAAACCCGGUGCUUUUAGUUCAAGUCCGGGAUACGAAGCCCGUAUUGUCUAAAAUUUAAAAUUAAAUAUUUAAAUUCAAUUUCACGGUUUAAGAGAAAAAGGCAUAAUUCUGGGCUUUGUAGCCCGUAGCGUAGUUCGGGCUACAAAGUCCGGAAUUAUGAACUUCACUCUGGAUUACGAAAUCCCGAGCCUUCAAAAUCUAUUUAGAUAUACCCUAUUAAAAUUUGCAAGUAGAAUGAGUAGAGAAAAGAAUGACAACUAGAAUGAGUCAAUUACAGUAAUAUCCAAUGACCUAGGACUUAUUUACAUUCUUCUUCUUGGCUAAGUCAAUUACAGUAAUAUCCAAUGGUUUAUUUAUUAUUAUUAUUAUUAUUUUUUAAUCCAAAUACCGUUUUAAAUACACACUCAAACAGAUUUGAACCCCAUCUUCUUGACACCCCACACUGAGAGAAACCACAAUACCAACCUAAGUUAAACCUUGAUCGACAAUAAAAAGUUACCAUAAACGUUAACUUUACAAAUUCGCCAAUCGGGUGCAAGAAUUGUUGGUGUUGAAACUUGAAACUCAUCGGUGUUUUAUAAUUGUAUUCUAGAAUAAACUACAGAAAUUACUUAAGACUUGUGCUAUUUGUAAAAAUAAAAUAAAUAACCAUAUAACUUUUCAGGUCAACUAAGAAAGUAUCAGCCCUUUUUUUUUCAUCUAGUUGCAUGCAUGUUGGAUGGUUCAUUGACUUUUAAAAAGUAAACUCCAUGAUUCUUUCAGCAAACUGUAUUACAUAUAUUUUAGCUGAUGUGACAGUUCAUGUUCAAACAUCCAAACAAUGUUAACCAAAGAAUGAUCCCAUUCUCUCGAAUCUCAAACACGCAAAAUUUUGCCAAAAAGAUAUGGAGAAGAAAAAUACCUGCAACGAUAAUCCCAUUUUGUGUAUCUUCUUUUACUUACUGAUCACUUUAAAUAUUUUCUCCACAAAAACAGCAACGGCCCAAAUCAUCCGUGUAAAAGUCGGAGUUGUGUUAGACAUGGAUGCAUUUGGACGGAUGACAUUCACGUGCAUAUCAAUGGCCCUCUCGGAAUUUUAUGUUACAAAUGACAAAUAUAGAACGAAGCUGAGUCUCACCAGUCGGGACUCUAAAAACGACGUCGUUGGGGCAGCUGCAGCAGGUACAUCAAAGCCUAAAAAAUACACACCCACACACACUCAGGAAAUUAGGAGGAAGAAAUAGAAAGAAAAAAAGAUUAUGCACUUAACCAACUCGUACCGUAAGAUGUUUAUUUGUCAAAUGCUCUAGGAUGAUGAAUUUUUCUUUGCCUUCAAACUUCAUUUCUUUUGCUAGCCUUUUUCAUAUAUUAUUUCCUUCAAGUAGGGCCGAACUGCAAAACAAAUCCGUUGGUCAUAAUUUUCUUAUGCAACCAUUUUCUGUUGCGAUGAUGAGUAGCACAUCAACAGCCAUCGCCUUUGUCUUAUCUUAAAAUUUCGAAUUAAUAUAUAUAUAUAUAUAUAUAUAUAUAUAUAUAUAGAUAUAUAUAUAUAUUAGGAUAAAAAGAUAAUCAGACCUAACCUGAUAAGAGGUUUAUUUAAUUUACAUAAUUCUCUGGUUUUCUUAUUCUUGUUAUGAGGUCUACCAUAUCAAACAAUGGGUCAAUACUCAAUAGCUUUAUCUUGUCUGGAAAAUGUAGACUAUUCAAUAAACUAGUUCGAAAUUCAGAAAUUUUAGAAUAUUAGCAAUUUAGCUCGUUCGAUAGAUAAGUACAUUUAUAAAAACGUUCGAUAGAUAAGUACAUUUAUAACAGUAACAUUGUACUAUAUCGUCAGUAUCUUGCAUAGGUUCAACAGAACAAAUGUUUAUCGGCUAGAUAUCAUAGAGACAAAACAGAGUCUGAAUUAUCUGUUCCUCAAAGGUCAGUUUGCUUAAGCAAGUGCUAGUUAUACAUAUUUUUCGCAAUAAAAGCUAUAAACUAGUCCUAAAUGUAUAGGCGUGAUCUGUUUUAAAGAAAUUUUAAGCCCAAAAAAUUUGAAUUUUCAACAGGUGCGGAGAAACAUUGAAAUAUUAAAUUGACUAAAUAUUCACUCUCAAGAUGGACGUAUCUAGUACUAUUCAGUUUUCUUUCCAACAAAUGAGAUUCUAUACCAGGAAAAUUUGUAUUAAAAUAGUAGUUAAAAUAUUACCUUAUACUGGGAGAAGUGCAAACCGUUCAAGAUGCACAUUACUAAUUGUAACAGUCAACUGAAUGAUUUCUUGCUCAUGAAAUGCAGGUCUGGACCUACUGAAGAAUGUUGAAGUGCAAGCCAUCAUCGGUCCCGUGUACUCAAGUCAGGCUAACUUCCUUAUUUCUCUUGGACUCAAAGCUAAAGUUCCCAUCAUUACUUUCUCAGCCACGAGUCCUUCUCUUUCAUCGCUUCGUAGUCCAUAUUUCAUUCAGGCUACUCUAAAAGACUCUUCACAAGUAGGCGCAAUCGUUGCAAUCAUUCAAGCCUUUGGAUGGAGAGAAGUUGUAACCAUUUACGAGAAUACUGAAUUUGGAGAAGGGAUUAUACCAUUUUUAACCGAUGCCUUAGAAAAGGUAAAAGUGCGUGUACCGUACAGGAGUGUCAUUCAAACUUCAGCAACAGAUGAUCAGAUCCUCGCAGAGCUUUACAAGUUGAUGGCUAUGCAAACCAGAGUUUUCAUCGUCCACAUGUUGAACCCUCUUGCUUCUCGCCUGUUCACCAAAGUGGAACAACUAGGGAUGAUGAGUAAAGAUUAUGCAUGGAUAAUAACAGAUAGCAUCACAAACGAUUUAAAUUCAAUGAACCCUUCUGUCAUAGCAUCCAUGCUAGGAGUAAUAGGAGUAAAACCUUAUGUUCCAAAUACAAAGGAACUGGAUGACUUUAUAACUCGAUACAAGAAAAGGGUUCUGCAAAGCAAUCGAAAAGCCCUUGGCGUGGACAUUUACGGGCUAUGGGCUUACGACUCGGCCAUAGCACUAGCCAUGGCAGCAGAAACUGCAGGACUAAAAAAUCUUACAUAUCAAGAAACGAACACAUCAACAAAUUCUACGGAUCUUGAAGCCAUUGGAGUAUCAAUAAGUGGACCAGAGCUCAUUCAGGCUUUAUCAAAUAUCACAUUUAGGGGCCUUGCUGGAGAUUUUCGAUUGGUCGAUGGCCAACUCCAAGCGCCUCCAUAUGAGAUAGUCAAUAUGGUUGGUCCUGGAGCUAGAGGCAUAGGAUAUUGGACAAAAGAGAACGGAAUCAUCAACAAACUGAACUUCACUAGUUCAAGCACAAAUGAAUAUUCCACUUCCAAGUCCAACCUUGGGCCUACUAUAUGGCCAGGCGACGAAUCAUUUCCACCUAAAGGUUGGGUGGUUCCUACAAGAGGGAAGAAAUUGAAGGUAGGAGUACCCGUAAAGGAUGGUUUCACAGAUUUCGUUCGUGUAACUUGGAAUUCCGACAAUUCUACAACAGUGGAAGGAUACUGCAUAGAUGUUUUUGAUGCUGUGAUGGCAGCACUGCCAUAUGGUGUGCCGUAUGAAUACAUUCCAUUUGCAACAACUGAUCACAAGAUGGCUGGUGAUUACAAUGCGCUGACCCAGCAAGUGUACCUUGGAGUAAGUAUCUUCUUUAUUACAAUGAAUUUAAAAAUCAAACACAUUUUUUUAUCAACAUAGAGCAAGAUGGUACAGCUGACCUUUUCUCUAAUCAAUCAACAGAAUUAUGACGCUGUGGCUGGGGAUGUAACAAUUCUAGCAAAUAGGUCACAGUACGUCGACUUCACUUUGCCGUAUACUGAGUCUGGUGUUUCAAUGGUCGUACCAAUCCAACACGAUAAGAGCAAAAAUACAUGGCUUGUUUUUAAGCCACUGACUAGGGAGCUGUGGUUCACAACCUUUUUCUCUUGUGUUGCAAUUGGGUGUCUGGUUUGGUUUCUUGAACGUGAUGUAAAUACAGAAUUCAGCGGGUCUCCUUUGCAUGAAUUUGGCAUGAUAUUCUGGUUCGCCUUCUCCACCAUGGUCUUUGCUCACAGUAAGCCACCUUUCAUCUUUUAACUACAGUCAUUUUUGCCAAAUGUUACACUAGAGCAAAUCUAAGGCCGUGUUUUGGCAAUUGAUAAUAUUGUAAACAUCUAAACUGAUAUUGAAUGUUAAUAAAAACAAGAAGUUGUUUCUGACCAUUUGGCAUUGAAUUUUUUGGUAGGGGAGAGGGUGAUAAGCAACUGCGCCAGGUUUCUGCUGAUCAUAUGGCUCUUGGCAGUAUUUGUAUUAACCCAAAGCUACUCCGCCAGUCUUACAUCCAUAUUAACAAUCCAGAAGGUGGAGCCAGCAGUUACUGAUAUUAAUGAGCUCAUAAGAAACAAGGAAUAUGUAGGCUACUCGAACACAUCAUUUGUUUUUGGAUUUCUCAAGAAAAUGGAAUUUGAUGCAUCUCGACUUCGGUCAUUCAAGUCAGCGGAGGAAAUGGAUGAACUUCUCUCCAAAGGGAGUGCAAAUGGUGGAAUAGCAGCUGCCUUUCAUGAGAUCCCGUACAUAAAGCUGUUUCUAGGCAAAUACUGUUCAAAAUACAUGAUGGCCGGGCCCACGUACAAGGCUGAAGGUUUUGGAUUCGUAUGUGACCCUCCUCAUCACCUACUUUCAAGUGUAUCUAUCACAUAUAUUUUUUUUUCAUUCUAUGUUGUCGUUUUCUGUACUUUUAAUAAAAUAUCUCUCUUCUUUGCUGCAGGUCUUCCCAAUAGAUUCUCCUCUAGUACCUGAUGUUUCACGAGAAAUUUUGAAUGUGGCGGAGGGCCAGAAGAUGGUCGAGAUUGAGACGACGUGGUUGGGAGAUAAGACCAAAUGUCCAGACCUUAACAGCUUACUUCCACCUAAGAGUCUUGGCCUUUCAAGCUUCAGGGGACUCUUUAUUAUGGUAGGAAUAGCUGGAGUUUUAGCACUUAUAUUUAGAUUCUUCAGUAAAAAACCGCAAUUCCCUGGUGAUGAACUCACAGCGCAGAGCCAGAGAGAUGAAUUACAUCGGUUACUGAACAGGAGGUACGAGGUAGGAGGUGGUCAACAAGGCAAUGUACCUGAGAAUCCAAAUGAACUGCCCGCAAUUCGGGCACAUUUACAUGAACAUGAGUUACAUGAGUUACCGAUGAGGUUCAAUAAUAGAGAUGAACAAGGCAAUUAGUCUAAGAAUCUGAAUUAAAGCGAGUGAAUCACCUAAUUUGUAAUUUUUUGCUUCCACUAUGAUUGUGAUAUAUUGGUACUCUUUGUUGGAUCCUCCGUGACACUUUGUAAGCUGUAACCGAACUUUUAGUAUGAAGAUGUGAUACUAAGAAGGGUGUUCCAAAUCGUGAGGUAAAAACUCAAAUCUUGCUAUCUUAGAAAAUUCUACUCCCCCUUUCCACAAUCCUACUACAGUUCAUCCUCGUCAACAUAUUUGGAUUGUUCUACAUUUUGCUUUUGCUGUAGCAAGAUAGUCAUCGCCACUUUAAAUGUGUAUAACUUCACAAGUGCAAUAGCAGAUGUAUGCUACCUUUCAAUUUCUGAUAUGGGCUACAAAUCACUAGCUUUGAUUAAAAUAUCAUUACAAAGAAGGAAAAAAAAAUGAACUCUGUUAAAGGGACAUCAAGGAAACAUAAAAAAAGCUAGAGGUGUUAUUGUAAAUCAUAAAUCAGUUGCUACAUGUUUCAUUUUCUUUUCCUUGAUUUCUCUUCUUAGGACUUGCACCAGCAAGUUCUCUUCUGUUUCAUUUCAUGUUCGAACCUUUGUACUCUACUGUAAUUAUGACAUAUAAAUUGGAAUUCUGUGUUGGUUAUCUAUACACAUCUAAAAGUCGUCCCGGUUUAAAUUUUAGUUUAGGUCCUUCAGUAGUCAAACUUUUAGUAUGAGGGUAUACCUAAAGAGUGUGUCCAAAUGACCUAAAAUCAUGUCGUAGAACUCACAUUUGGCUGUCUUAUAAACUUCUAUUCACCGCUUCCACAGUCCCACUAGAAUUCCUCCUCGUUAAAGUGUUUACUAAGGGAUGCCAUUCACUAGAGAUCAUACAUAUUCUUUUAGGCAUUUCAACAAACAUGAAAUAGGCAUCAACACCAACAUUAACAAAAAAAAAAAACACAGAAUACCCCCUCAAACAAUAGUUUCUACAAUUGACCCCAAAAAAUAAACUGACACAUAAAUAGAACACAUUUUGUUAUAAGGAUUCCCAAUCAGGAUUAGGUCAGAUAUACUUGGUGUUGAACGAAUCCAAAGUGGUUGAUAUAAAUAGAAGAAAAAAAAACAUAUACAGCAAGUGGUAAUAUUAAAGCAAAAUGAGAGAGCGUUUACCUGAGUAAGAUUAACAGUCUCGAUCAUCCCCAUGGCCAGAGGCGUAGACGUGUCUGGCCGAGGUCUCUUUCACACUCUUCUUCUUCUUCUUCGCCCAGUCAAGUCAAUAUAAGAAAAUGAUCGAUAAAACCAAAUGUCCAGAUUCUAGUACUUUGUUCUCGUCCAACAGUAUCGGUUUAGAGAGCUUUUGGGGGCUGUUCUUGAUAGUGGGAAUUGCUGCAGCUUCAGCAUUGAUAAUCUACGCGAUCAAAUUCCUACGCGAAAAAUAGAGAUAGAGAGAGUGGCUGUGGAGGUGAUUGCGUGAAGUGAGCAGCAGAAUCAUCUAACGAACAUGAUUUUCGAUUUAGUCCGUCGACUUUUUCAGUGGCCUCUCCGUGUACUAAUGGCCCGACUUCUCGAGCCCAAAUGCGCAGAAUGUAGAUUUUCGAGCUAUGCAGCAAGAAAUCGAACUUGUCAAUCCGAAUCAAAACGAGCAAUUGUCAUCAACAACGGUGGACUUGGCGCAUGAAGUUCACUAAGUGUGGUAGCUUUAUCUUUCAUCUCAAUCAGAUAGGGGUAAGAUGACAUCUUGUAAUUUCAUUUCCAUUGUAGAAGAGUACUCUCAUCUAACAUUUCAAGAAGAAUAAAAGAAAAAAAGAUCUCGAUUAGUGUCUUGUUCCAAGAUAGUUCCUUAGGAGCUUUAAUGCCUGAAAUUUUGAUUUGCGAUAACACAUCAUUAGCAUUAAAACUAGCAUUGAUACAAUAUCGAAAAAAAUGUAAUUGUGUAGAAAUUCGGAGAAGGGCUGUUUAGGAAAAAUCACAAAGCUACAGAUUUCACCUUAAGUACGAGCUAAUAGAGGAAAAGAGAUGCAUGACUUGAGUAUGACAAUGGAAGAAUGCAGGCAAUUUCUAAGAGUUAAUAUUCUUGUAGGCAUUUCAACAAACAUGUACUAGGCAUCCACACAAUCCAUCAAUGCAAUCAUUAAAAAGAAUAUAAAUCAGUAAUUAUUAAUUACCAACAUCUCUGUCACGAGUGACGACAACUUGGAUUCUUCUUCUCAUAAAGUACUCCGAGGUUGUCAAUAUUAUCCGCUCUAGUUAGAUUUAAAUAUUUGCACUUGUAAUAAAUACAUUUUCAAUAUUCUGAGUAAGAGCACUUUGUUCACGUCUUCCCCUGCCUUGCCAAAUCAAUUACAUUUAUAACCAAUAAAUCUUUCAAAGUCAAAGUCAACCAUAGAAGUUGCUAAACAUGAUUAAUCACCCUAAUUGCCUCAUGUAAAUUUCAAAUUUCGAAGAGUUCGAGUUUUUUUUGUAAUAAGUCAAACCUCAAGAAUGAAUGAAUAAUUGUUUAUAAGGGUAAAUUACGGUCAUUCCCAUAGGGUAAUGCUAAAUUACGAAAAAAUCCCUCAUGUUUGGAUAUUUAUAAUCAAUUAAUCAUCCCCUCAAGUCCAUCCUUGCGGUGUCAAAUUUGGAAUCUUCCAUAAUCUAGAAGAUUACGUUGAAUUUGACACCGUAAGGGUGUACGCGUAGAAGAUUCAUAGUCGAUGGAUGGUUGUAAUUAUCCAAACAUAAGUGAGUUUGUCGUAAUUUAAUCUUAACUCGGGGGUGGCCGUAACAUAAAAAAAAAAUCAUUCUAAUCAAACCUUUUAACAAGCAUUUAUGAAAAUUUACAACAUCAACCAAUUUUGGAUAGCUCAUUGACUUUACAAAAGUAAACUCCCAUGAUUCUCCAAAGAAACUUCAAAAUACAAUAUAUUAGGACAGCUCAUUUUGGGUCCUACACCAUGUACUUAGUUCUGGAUGUAACAGUUCAAAUUCAAACAUCCAAAAACACAAUGCCCUGUGUAUGCAUUUUUUUUUGGUAAUCAAAUUAAAUCAUCAUCUAGAAAGAAAAAAAAAAGAAAUGGAGAAGAUCAAAACCUGCAGAUAUGUCAUUUUGCAUCUCUUCUGUUAUUUAUGUGCCGUGAUUUUCUCAACAAAAAUGGCAGCGGCACAGAACAUCUCUGUAAGAGUAGGAGUGGUGCUAGACAUGGAUGAGUAUGGAAAGAUGGCAUUCAACUGCAUAUCAAUGGCGCUAUCGGAUUUCUACACUACACAUGAUUCUUACAACACGAGGCUGUUUCUCUACAACCGGGACUCCAACGGAGACGUCAUCGGGGCAGCUGCUGCAGGUACUCCGCCUAAAACACACACAACACACAUUCAAGAAACAAGGAAGAAACGAAAAAAAUAUAAAAAAAUUAUAAACGUAAUCAACUCAUAUAGUAAGAUUUUUUAAUUACUAUGUCAGAUGCUGUAGGAUGAAUAUUCAAUUGGGCCCAACUGCCAACUUUUCUGUUGGUUAUAACUUUCAGGCUUCAGCAGCAUUACUUGUUCUUCUAACUAUACUUCAAGCAUAAUUGGAAACUUACCCAAACAUAGUAAUCCCAAUGUAUAACAUAUUUACCCUCACCAAAAUAUUUCUUUACGGAAAUCGCAUCACAACAUUACCGAUAUUGAAGGAUAAUAGGGUAAAAGGACUAUUUUCUUCACCACGUGACAUCUUUUGAUAACGUUCAUUACUACUGACAAAUCCAGAUCAAGUGAAUUUUUUUUCCUAGAUGAGAAAUACCCUAAACGGUCAUCGCUUUUUACAUCUUAAUUUCAAAAUAAAAAGCAUACAACUAUGUUAUGUUGCCCAUGAAAUGCAGGUUUGGACCUGCUGAAGAAUAUUGAAGUGCAAGCCAUAAUAGGUCCCAUGUACUCGGUACAGGCUAAUUUCCUUAUUUCUCUUGGACAGAAAGCUCACGUUCCUAUUAUUACCUUCUCAGCCACAAGUCCUUCUCUUUCAUCACUAAGGAGUCCUUAUUUCGUUCGGGCUACUCUAAACGACUCUACGCAAGUAAACCCCAUAGUUGCAAUUAUUCAAGCCUUUAAAUGGAAAGAAGUCGUGCCAAUCUAUGAGGAUAACGAAUUCGGGGAAGGGAUUGUACCGUUUUUAAGCGAUGCCUUAGAACAGGUAAAUGUGCGCGUACCUUACAGGAGUGUCAUUCCGUCAUUAGCAACAGACGAACAAAUUGUCGAUGAGCUUAACAAGCUGAAGACUAUGCAAACAAGAGUAUUCAUCGUGCACAUGUUACGCAGUCUCGGUUCUCGCCUGUUCGCCAAAGCAGCACAACUAGGAAUGAUGAGUAAAGAUUACGCAUGGAUAAUAACAGACAGCAUCACAAACGAAUUAACUGCAAUGGAUCCUUCUCUCGUAGCAUCGAUGCUAGGAGUAAUAGGAGUAAAACCUUAUAUUCCACAGACAAAAGAGCUGGACGACUUUGCAAUUCGAUACAAAAACAAGAUUCAGCAGAGCAAUCCAAAAGCUCUAAAUCUGGACAUAUAUGGUAUAUGGGCUUAUGACUCGGCCCUUGCACUAGCCAUGGCAGUUGAAAAAGCAGAGUUAGCAAAUCUUACAUAUCAGAAGACGAACACGUCGACAAAUUCUACAGAUCUUGAAGCCUUUGGGGUAUCGUUAAGUGGACCAAAGCUCAUUCAGGCUUUAUUGAGUAUCACGUUUAGAGGCCUUGCUGGAAACUUCCAAUUAGUCGAUGGCCAACUCCAAGCACCGCCUUACGAAAUAGUCAACAUUGUUGGUCCUGGAGCUAGUGGUAUAGGAUAUUGGACAAAAGAGAAUGGAAUUGUCAACAAACUAAACUUCAGUAGUUCAAGCGCAAGCGCAUAUUCAACUUCCAAAGACAACCUCGGAUCAAUUACAUGGCCAGGCAACGAAUCAUCGCCACCUAAAGGUUGGGUGGUUCCAACAAAAACCAAGAAAAUGAGAGUAGGCGUGCCUGUAAAGGAUGGUUUCACUGAAUUCGUCCGUGUUACAUGGAAUUCCGACAAUUCUACGACAGUGGAAGGAUUCUGCAUAGAUAUUUUUGAUGCGGUGAUGAAAGCACUACCAUAUGAUGUGCCGUAUGAAUACAUUCCAUUUGCAACUCCUGAUCACAAGAUGGCUGGAGAUUAUAAUGAAAUGGCCUAUCAAGUGUACCUUGGAGUAAGUAUUUUCCCUUUUCUUAUUGAAUUUAAAAAUCAAAUACAUUUUCUAUCAGCACAAAGCAAGAUGCACUAUACUAUGCCUGAAUUCUUCUAUUCUCUGCUUAUUGAUGAAUAGAACUAUGACGCUGUGGCUGGUGACGUAACAAUUCUAGGAAAUAGGUCUCAGUACGUAGACUUCACUCUGCCUUUUAUAGAGUCUGGUGUUUCGAUGGUUGUACCGAUCCCAGAGGAUAAGAAGGGAAAUACAUGGAUAUUAGUGAAGCCAUUGACUUGGGAGUUGUGGUCAACAAUAUUCUUCUUUUUUGUUAUAAUUGGGAUUUUGGUUUGGCUUCUUGAACGCCCAGAAAAUAGAGAUUUCAGAGGGUCUCGUUGGGACCAAUUUUGCAUGAUAUUCUGGUUCAGCUUCUCCACCAUGUUCUUUGCUCACAGUAAGCUACCUUUCAUCUUUUAAACUACAGUAAGUCCUUUUUUACCAAAUAUUAAAACCUACUUAAUUAACUCUGCCAAUUUUGGCAUUGACUUUUUUUUUUUUUGGUAGAGGAGAAGGUGAAAACCAACUCCGCCAAGAUAGUGGUGAUUGCAUGGCUAUUGGCGGUAUUUAUAUUAACCCAAGGCUAUGCUUCCAGUCUUACAUCCAUGUUAACAGCCCAGCAGCUGAUAGUGAAUGAUGUUAAUGAGCUUAUAAGAAACAAGGACUAUGUAGGCUACUCGAAUACAUCGUUUGUAUAUGGAUUUCUGAAAAACCUUUUUAACGAGUCGCAACUUCGGCCUUUCAACUCAGCAGAGGAAAUGGAUGAACUUCUCUCCAAAGGGAGUGCAAAUGGUGGAAUAGCAGCUGCCUUUCAUGAGAUCCCAUAUAUAAAGAUGUUUCUAGGCAAAUACUGUUCGAAAUACAUGAUGGUCGGACCCACUUAUAAGGCUGCUGGUUUCGGAUUUGUAUGUGACCCUCUUCACUAUAUAUAUGUUUUCAUUUUUUAUUUUUAUUUUUGCUUUCUAGACUCUCUUUCUCUCUUAUUUGCAGGUUUUUCCAAUAGAUUCUCCUCUAGUACCUGAUGUUUCGAGAGAAAUUUUGAAUGUGACUGAGGUUCAAAAAAUGGUGGAUAUUGAAAAGAAGUGGUUGGGAGAUGAGUCCAAAUGUCCAGACACUGACACCAAAAGUAUUGGCCUAUCAAGCUUCAGGGUAGUCUUUAUUAUUGUAGGAACAGUUGGAAUAGCAGUGGUCAUAAAUUAUAUGAUUAGACAAGGACGUGAAAAUAAGAAUGUCCAUAAAGAUGAUCCCCCAAUUGUCCAUAAUGAUCCCCCAAUUGUCCAUAAUGAUCCCCCAAUUGUCCAUAAUGAUCCCCCAAUUAUCCAUAAUGAUCCCCCAAUUAUCCAUAAUGAUCCCCCAAUUGUCCAUAAUGAUCCCCAAUUAUCCAUAAUGAUCCCCCAAUUAUCCAUAAUGAUCCCCCAAUUAUCCAUAAUGAUCCCAAAAUUGUCGAUAAUGAUCCCACAAUUGAGAGACAGAUAUAUGAGUUAUGGCAGUCACUAAAGACUUUCAAGGAAAGACUAACACCUAAACUCUAGCACAUGUGGCUGUCAGGUUUCUGUUUACCUCAAAAUAAAGAUUGGUGUGCGACUCUUAAUUGAGGAGGUGGUAUCCUAAUUUCUAAAUCUCAUUCUACGUGUUUCGUAAUUUUUUUCCCCUUAAAUUCUCUUUCUUGAAAUAACGUGAUUAACUUCUCUUCUGAGAAUAUCUUCUUGGGACUUUGAUCGGCAAGUUCUCUUAUGUUUUGUUUCAUGUUCUAACCUUUUGCUUUUACUGUGAUUAUGAUACAUAAAUUUGAACUUUGUUUUGGUUAUGUAUAUCCUCAUAAAACUUUAUCCAAAAGUUUGCAUUUUUUAUCGAUUCCUCAUUGACUCUUGUAAGUUGUAAGGGUGUGAGAGUGAGACUAAGAAAUGUGUUCGAAAUCAUGACAUAGAAACUCAAAUUUUUGCUGUCUUGGAAAGUUCUACUCACCCCUUACAUAUUCCCACUAUAAUUCCCUCUCGUCAAACAUAUUUGGAUUCUUCUACAUUAUAGCUUUUACGAUGGAAAAACUUAAGCUAACAGUGAAAAUGAGAUGCACAAGGAAUUAAAUGUUUACUGAGGAAUGACAAUCAUUACGAGCACGACAAUGGAAGUAAGGAGAUAAUUUCUAGGAGUUCAUAUUUGGGUACCGAGUAAGAAUUUGAGUAUCCUUGUCUAACAUGUUGAGCUUCGUGCCGCACGUGCAGACGUAUCUGAUCGAGGUCUCCUUUCUCCAAUUCUUCUUCUUCUUUUUGCCAAACUCAACUACAUUUGUACACAAUGAAUCACUCAAAGUCAGUUUUACCAAUAAAAAAGGACAAAAGGAAAAAAAAUCAAAUUUACAUUAUUUACUCAGCUCUGUGAUUACAUGGAAGUUGGAAAUAAAACAGAAUCCUUCUGUGAAUCUUGAGAAUAUAUUUUGUAAUUUACGCAGAGUGUUUUACGGGCUACGAAACAUUCCAAUUUUUCAAUAACAUGCAAUAUUUAAAUUAUGUUCUAAAAUUGCGAACACUCUCUUGAGUAAUUACAAUACAAAAUACCCUAAAUUUAAUUUUAAUUUACAGGUAAUUGGAAAGGUGUAAUCUGCAAGUGGAAUGGAUUGGGAAAUGAGUAGAGAAAAGAAUGACAAGUAGACUAUGAGUGUGCUUGUCUUCACGUCUUGAGCCUUAUGGAAAGUUGACCUUUCUGGUCGAAGACUUAUUUAUAUUCUUCUUCUUGACCAAGUCAACACACACGUACACACCCAAUCAAAUUUGAACCCCGUCCUCUCCCACACCCCACAGUGAGAGAAAAAGCCACAAUACCAACCUAAGGCCUUAAUUGACGAUAAAAGGUUACCUUUAACAAAUAGUCAAUAGGAUACAAGGACUGUUGGUGACGAAACCAAUAGGUAUUUUAUAUUUUGGAAUAAAUUACAGAAACUAUUUAAGACUUGUGCUAUUUGUAAAAGUAAAAUAAAGGGAAAGAUCAUAUAACUUUUCGGAUCAGCUUAAAAAUUACCAACCAUUUUUUUCAUCAAGUUGCAUGCAUGUUGGUGAUACGUCAUUGACUUCACAAAAGUAAACUCUAUGAUUCUUUCAGCACACACCAUGCUGGAUUAUAUAUAUAUUCUGUAUUAUACACAUAGCACAGACCAUGUUUUGGGCCCUACCUAUAUUUUAACUGUGGAUGUGACAGUUGAAGACAAACCCUUCAAACAAUGGUAACCAAACAAUGAUCAUUCUCUCAAGUCUCAAACAUGCAAAAUUUAGGAAAAAAGGAUAUGGAGAAGAGAAGAAUUACCUGCAGCAAACCAAUUCUGCAUCUCUUCUUUUAUUUAUUGAUCACUUUGAAGAUUUUUCCUACAAAAAUGGCGACGGCUCAGAACAUCACUGUAAGAGUAGGGGUUGUGUUAAACAUGGAUGGUUUUGGACAGAUGUCAUUCAACUGCUUAUCAAUGGCGCUUACGGAUUUCUACUCUACGCACAAACAAUAUAGAACGAAGCUGGUUCUUACCGACCGGGACUCCAAAGACGAUGCCGUUGGAGCAGCUGCAGCAGGUACUCUGCCUAUAAAAAAACAUAUAACACACACUCAGGAAAUAAGGAAGAAGAAAUAGAGGAAACAAAAAGUUAUAAUUUGAUUUAGCCUAUUAACUAUUCAAUGAUUUUCUUAUUCUUGUUCUGAGGUCUCCCAUGUGAAACAAUGGGUCAAUCGCUUUGUCUUGUCUGAAAAUGGAUGUUAUUAAUUAAACUAGUUGGCAAUCAAGAAAUUCUAUAAAUUUCAAAUUACAAUUCUGUAGGAACAAUCCAUAAUGAUUUUUUUGGGUAUGGCAUUUUAGUCUGUCCGGGAAACAAGUUUAUGUAUAAGAAAGAGUAAACGCUCUACUACUAUAUUGUUAGUUUCUUGCUCAAGUUCAACAGAACAAGAUGUUACUAGAUAUCACAGGGCCAAAAAACACUCUUAUUUAUCUGUUCCUCACAGGCUAGUUUGCUUAAGCAUUAUACAUAUUUUUCCCAAUAAAAGCUAUAAACUUUUCCUAGUUGUAUAAGUGAGAUUUUAAAAAAAAUUUAAGCCCACAAAACUUCAAUUUUCAAGAAAGGAGGAAGAACAUUGAAAUAUUAAAAUUUUCUAAAUAUUCACUCAAGAUGUGGCUGUAUCUACUACUAUUCAGUUCUUUACAUGGAAAAAUUGUGUUGAAGUACUAGCUGAAAUAUUACCAUAUACUGGGAAAGUGCAAACAGAUUCAAGAUGCACCUUCCAGAAUGUAGGCAAUCGACUGAUGAACGUUUUGUUGCACAUGAAAUGCAGGUCUGGACCUACUGAAGAACGUUGAAGUGCAAGCAAUCAUAGGUCCCGUGUACUCAAGUCAGGCUAACUUCCUUAUUUCUCUUGGACACAAAGCUCAUGUUCCUAUUAUUACCUUCUCAGCCACAAGUCCUUCUCUUUCAUCACUUCGGAGUCCAUAUUUCAUCAGGGCUACUCUAAAAGACUCUUCACAAGUAGGCGCCAUAGUUGCAAUUAUUCAAGACUUUGGAUGGAGAGAAGUUGUGGCCGUUUAUGAGAACACUGAAUUUGGAGAAGGGAUUCUACCAUUUCUGACUGAUGCCUUAGAACAGGUAAAUGUGCGCGUACCUUAUAGGAGUGUCAUUUCACCAUCAGCAACAGAUGAUCAAAUCCUUGCAGAGCUUUACAAGUUGAUGGCUAUGCAAACCAGAGUUUUCAUCGUCCACAUGUUGAACCCUCUUGCUUCUCGCCUGUUCACCAAAGUGAAGCAACUAGGAAUGAUGAGUAAAGAUUAUGCAUGGAUAAUAACAGAUAGCAUCACAAACGAUUUAAACUCAAUGGAUCGUUCUGUCAUAGCAUCUAUGCUAGGGGUAAUAGGGGUAAAACCUUAUGUUCCACAGACAAAGGAACUGGACGACUUUACAACUCAAUACAAGAAAAAGGUUCUGCAGAGCAAUCCAAAAGCCCUUGGUGUGGACAUAUACGGGCUAUGGGCUUAUGACUCAGCCAUUGCACUAGCCAUGGCAGCAGAAAGAGUAGGGUUAGCAAAUCUUACAUAUCAAGAGACAAACAUGUCUACAAGUUCUACAGAUCUUGAAGCCUUUGGAGUAUCAUUAAGUGGACCAGAGCUGAUUCAGGCUUUAUCAAACAUCACAUUCAGAGGCCUUGCUGGAGAUUUUCGAUUGGUCGAUGGUCAACUCCAAGCGCCUCCAUACGAGAUAGUCAAUAUGGUAGGUCCAGGAGCUAGAGGCAUAGGAUAUUGGACGAAAGAGAGUGGGAUUGUUAAAGAACUGAACAUCACAAUUGCAUCCAAAAAAAACUAUGCCACUUCCAAGUCCAACCUUGGGCCCACUAUAUGGCCAGGCGACGAACCAUCUCCACCUAAAGGUUGGGUGGUUCCUACGAGAGGGAAGAAACUGAGAGUAGGAGUACCUGUAAAGGCUGGUUUCACUGAUUUCGUUCGUGUAACUUGGAAUUCCGACAAUUCUACAACAGUGGAAGGAUACUGCAUAGAUGUUUUUAAUGCAGUGAUGGCAGCACUACCAUACGGCGUGCCGUAUGAAUACAUUCCAUUUGCAACUCCUGACCACAAGAUGGCUGGUAAUUACAAUGAGUUGGUCUAUCAAGUGUACCUUGGAGUAAGUAUCUUCCUUUUUCCUAUGAAUUUAAAAACCAAACACACUUUAAUCAACAUGGAGCAAGAUGCAAUAUACUACAGCUAACGUUUUUUCCUAAUCAAUGAACAGAACUAUGACGCUGUGGCUGGAGAUGUAACAAUUCUAGUAAAUAGGUCACAGUACGUCGACUUCACUCUGCCAUAUACUGAGUCUGGUGUUUCAAUGGUUGUAAAAAUCCAAGACGAUAAGAGGAAAAAUACAUGGCUUGUUUUUAAACCACUGACUUGGCAACUGUGGAUCACAACCUUUAUCUCUUGUGUUGCGGUUGGGUUUUUGGUUUGGCUUCUUGAACGCGAGAAAAAUACAGAAUUCGGUGGGUCUACUUUGCAUCAAUUAGGCAUGAUAUUCUGGUUCGCCUUCUCCACCAUGGUCUUUGCUCACAGUAAGCCAC
This 23997-nucleotide long non-coding RNA is filed under the name Erythranthe guttata (spotted monkey flower). RNAcentral's name for it is "long non-coding RNA (EGUT_LNC003377)". Lineage: Eukaryota; Viridiplantae; Streptophyta; Magnoliopsida; Lamiales; Phrymaceae. The record is from RNAcentral.